CGUAGGACUGCCAUCCCCUCCUCAGCCUGGGUUCUGGAAAGGCCCUGGCUUGUUCUCCUCAGCCUCUGAGUGAGUUUCCAAGGACACUCUGGGCUCUCAGGGACAGGUGAUGAAAUGGAAUCUCAGAGAGGCCAAGCCAUUUGCCUGAGGUCACAAAGCAUUUUCAGACCAGGCCCCAAGGCUCUUUCAGAGACGGAUGGGAGGAGAGGAGAAAAGUGCAUCCAGUUCAUCUCCCCGGAAGUAGAAGCCACCACAAGGGGGCGCCUGGGUGGCUCAGUCGGUUGAGCGGCUGACUUCAGCUCAGGUCAUGAUCCCUCCUUCAUGAGCUCGAGCCCCGCAUCCGCAUCUGGCUGUGUGUUGACAGCAAGGAGCC
This is a long non-coding RNA of Neofelis nebulosa (Clouded leopard), 373 nucleotides long. RefSeq lists it as uncharacterized. Lineage: Eukaryota; Metazoa; Chordata; Mammalia; Carnivora; Felidae. The record is from RefSeq and is a predicted model, not a curated record. The transcript has 3 exons.